Molecule: transfer RNA, 73 nt
Filed under: Lactobacillus iners
Lineage: Bacteria; Bacillati; Bacillota; Bacilli; Lactobacillales; Lactobacillaceae
Also listed under: 14 other names
Description: tRNA-Arg
Rfam family: tRNA
About the family: Transfer RNA (tRNA) molecules are approximately 80 nucleotides in length. Their secondary structure includes four short double-helical elements and three loops (D, anti-codon, and T loops).
Source: RNAcentral
GGUUCGGUAGUUCAGCUGGAUAGAACGAUAGUCUCCUAAACUGUAGAUGUGAGUUCGAGUCUCACCCGAAUCA